AGUCCAUAUUUCAAGUAGUGUGUUUUAGUCCAUAUUUCAGGUAGUGUGAUGGUACUGCUUAACAAUGAACAGACAUUGCUGUUCCGGGUUAACAGGACUAAGAAUUUGUUCCCACAUUCGGUCAGCACCAAGGCUAAGGAACAGCUUCACUCUCUAAUCUUUCCACGAAAUAGCUGUCACCUUGCUCCGGUGCUGAAGUUCGGGAUGCGGAACUAGCUGAGCAUGCGUACUUCCUCCCUGCCGGCCCUCCCUCCGUCCCGUUGGCUCCGCCCUCCGCGGACGUGCUGCGUCAGAAUGCGCCUCACCCCUGGCGACCCCGGAAGUGGGUCGGGGGCUUGGCCUCUGCCCGGCCACAGAGCCGGAGCUGGAGGUGCUGUCCCGUCCGGCGGCGAUCCCCGGGCAGGGCCCGGGGCCGGGGUUUGAAGAUGCUGAACGUCCCUUCCCAGUCUUUCCCGGCCCCCAGGUCGCAGCAGCGUGUCGCCUCCGGGGGGCGUAGCAAGGUACCUUUAAAACAGGGCAGAAGCCUUAUGGAUUGGAUUCGACUGACCAAAAGUGGAAAGGAUCUAACGGGAUUAAAAGGCAGGUUAAUUGAAGUAACUGAAGAAGAACUUAAGAAACACAACAAAAAAGAUGAUUGUUGGAUAUGCAUAAGAGGUUUCGUUUAUAAUGUCAGCCCUUAUAUGGAGUAUCAUCCUGGUGGAGAAGAUGAACUAAUGAGAGCAGCAGGAUCAGAUGGUACUGAACUUUUUGAUCAGGUUCAUCGUUGGGUCAAUUAUGAAUCCAUGCUGAAAGAAUGCCUGGUUGGCAGAAUGGCCAUUAAACCUGCUGUUCUGAAAGACUAUCGUGAGGAGGAAAAGAAAGUCUUAAAUGGCAUGCUUCCCAAGAGCCAAGUGACAGAUACACUUGCCAAAGAAGGUCCUAGUUAUCCAAGCUAUGAUUGGUUCCAAACAGACUCUUUAGUCACCAUUGCCAUAUAUACUAAACAGAAGGAUAUCAAUUUAGACUCAAUAAUAGUUGAUCAUCAGAAUGAUUCCUUUAGAGCAGAGACAAUUAUUAAGGAUUGUUUAUAUCUUAUACAUAUUGGGCUAAGCCAUGAGGUUCAGGAAGAUUUUUCUGUGCGGGUUGUUGAGAGUGUGGGAAAAAUAGAGAUUGUUCUACAAAAAAAAGAGAAUACUUCUUGGGACUUUCUUGGCCAUCCCCUGAAGAAUCAUAAUUCACUUAUUCCAAGGAAAGAUACAGGUUUGUACUACAGAAAGUGCCAGUUAAUUUCCAAGGAAGAUGUUACUCAUGAUACGAGGCUUUUCUGUUUGAUGCUGCCACCAAGCACUCAUCUUCAAGUGCCCAUUGGGCAACAUGUUUACCUCAAGCUACCUAUUACAGGUACAGAAAUAGUAAAGCCAUAUACACCUGUAUCUGGUUCCUUACUCUCAGAGUUCAAGGAACCAGUUCUUCCCAACAAUAAAUACAUCUACUUUUUGAUAAAAAUCUAUCCCACUGGACUCUUCACACCAGAGCUUGAUCGUCUUCAGAUUGGAGAUUUUGUUUCUGUAAGCAGUCCUGAGGGCAAUUUUAAAAUAUCCAAGUUCCAAGAAUUAGAAGAUCUCUUUUUGUUGGCAGCUGGAACAGGCUUCACACCAAUGGUUAAAAUACUGAAUUAUGCUUUGACUGAUAUACCCAGUCUCAGGAAAGUGAAGCUGAUGUUCUUCAAUAAAACAGAAGAUGAUAUAAUUUGGAGAAGCCAAUUGGAGAAAUUAGCAUUUAAAGAUAAAAGACUGGAUGUUGAAUUUGUUCUCUCAGCACCUAUUUCUGAAUGGAAUGGCAAACAGGGACAUAUUUCACCAGCUCUUCUUUCUGAAUUUUUGAAAAGAAAUUUGGACAAAUCCAAAGUUCUCGUCUGCAUUUGUGGACCAGUGCCAUUUACAGAACAAGGAGUAAGGUUGCUGCAUGAUCUCAACUUUUCCAAAAAUGAGAUCCAUAGUUUUACAGCAUAAUGAAGAGCUGUCAUUGUCCUUUAUUCAACUAGUUUAUCUAUAUUUGUGAUUGCUUAGGGUUUUUUAAGAGAACAUUUUUGUACAUAACAAAAGGUUAACUAGAAUCCAGCCUUCAGUUUCUUAAAUGAAAUCAAAUGUUCCUUCAGUUCAGACGCCCAGCUUGUGAAGCUUCCUAUGUGCAAAUGGCUGGUUGAACACUAUCACUUUUUCCUGUGCCUCUGUCUUCUGUAGCCAUUUCCACCAUCAUCAUUAUUCACAAAGACAGGAAUCUAGCUGUCCUGGACUGGUACUGUUCCCUGUUUUUGAAAACUUCACAAGCACUGAAAAUCCUAGAAUAUGAUAUAUUUUAGGAGGUUUAUGAAAGGAUGGAACGGACCCUGAAAAGCACUCUUGAAUACAGGUAAAGAAAGCAUUUCAUGGUUCACUUAUUGAGGACAAUCAACCACUUCAUAAUUUAGAACCUGAAGAUUGGAUCUUCUGAGAACCUCAGAGAAAGACUGCCCUUGGCAUCCACACUGCAGCAAAACUUCAGGACCUUGAACCUUGGGCUAAUAAUUUCACAACUGAGAUGGCUUCAUCUACACCCUUGGAACUAUACCCAUUAGAACCCUUAAGGUAAAGCUAACCAAGGAAGUUUCUACCCAGAAGAAGAUUGCAUCCUUGAUAUGAACAGCUUUUUCCCAAGAUCAUGCAUCAAGACUUCUCUACUAUCAUGAGACUCUUACUUUGAAUAUUUUUCCCUUGCUUAUGCCUCUAUGAACAAUAGAAGUGAAAAGGGGG
Pan troglodytes (chimpanzee) is the source of this 2771-nucleotide RNA transcript. It is a transcript of the gene named cytochrome b5 reductase 4, with no coding region annotated. The transcript has 19 exons. NCBI's taxonomy places the organism in Eukaryota, Metazoa, Chordata, Mammalia, Primates, Hominidae. The record is from RefSeq and is marked provisional.